GGCUUUUUGAGUGUAAAUAGCUCUAAGAAUAAGAGCUGGGUAAGACAGGUGCCAGCAGCCGCGGUAAUACCUGCAGCUCAAGUGGUCUGGAUUUUUAUUGGGUCUAAAGCGUUUGUAGCCGGACUCGCAAGUCUUCUGUGAAAUCUGACGGCUUAACCGUCAGGCUGCAGGGGAAACUACAAGUCUAGGGACCGGGAAGGGCCAAAGAUACUCUAGGGGUAGGGGUGAAAUCCAAUAAUCCUUAGGGGAUCGCCAGUGGCGAAGGCGUUUGGCUAGAACGGGUCCGACGGUGAGGGACGAAAGCUAGGGGAGCGAACGGGAUUAGAUACCCCGGUAGUCCCAGCCGUAAAUGAUGUGGACUAGGUGUUGCAUUCCCCUUUGGGAAUGCAGUGCCGAAGGGAAGCCGUUAAGUUCACCACCUGGGAAGUACGGUCGCAAGGCCGAAACUUAAAGGA
RNAcentral lists this ribosomal RNA (455 nucleotides) under uncultured crenarchaeote. RNAcentral describes it as "bacterial SSU rRNA". It matches the Rfam family "Archaeal small subunit ribosomal RNA", at positions 405 to 863 of the family's 1478-position model. Lineage: Archaea; Thermoproteati; Thermoproteota. The record is from RNAcentral.